CCUACGGGAGGCAGCAGUGGGGAAUAUUGGGCAAUGGAGGAAACUCUGACCCAGCGACGCCGCGUGCGGGAGGAAGGCCUUCGGGUUGUAAAGCUCUUUUGUCAGGGAAGAAACAGCAGCUCUAACACAGUCUGCGAAUGACGGUACCUGAAGAAUAAGCACCGGCUAACUACGUGCCAGCAGCCGCGGUAAUACGUAGGGUGCGAGCGUUAAUCGGAAUUACUGGGCGUAAAGCGUGCGCAGGCGGUUAUACAAGACAGGCGUGAAAUCCCCGGGCUUAACCUGGGAGUGGCGUCUGUGACUGUAUAGCUAGAGUGUGUCAGAGGGGGGUGGAAUUCCACGUGUAGCAGUGAAAUGCGUAGAUAUGUGGAGGAACACCAAUGGCGAAGGCAGCCCCCUGGGAUAACACUGACGCUCAUGCACGAAAGCGUGGGGAGCAAACAGGAUUAGAUACCCUGGUAGUCCACGCCCUAAACGAUGCUGACUAGUUGUUGGGAAUUUACAUUCUCAGUAACGUAGCUAACGCGUGAAGUCAGCCGCCUGGGGAGUACGGUCGCAAGAUUAAAACUCAAAGGAAUUGACGG
This 584-nucleotide ribosomal RNA is filed under the name uncultured beta proteobacterium. RNAcentral's name for it is "bacterial SSU rRNA". It matches the Rfam family "Bacterial small subunit ribosomal RNA", at positions 338 to 916 of the family's 1533-position model. The record is from RNAcentral. Lineage: Bacteria; Pseudomonadati; Pseudomonadota; Betaproteobacteria.